RNAcentral lists this ribosomal RNA (377 nucleotides) under uncultured bacterium. RNAcentral's name for it is "bacterial SSU rRNA". It matches the Rfam family "Bacterial small subunit ribosomal RNA", at positions 355 to 747 of the family's 1533-position model. The record is from RNAcentral.
UGGGGAAUAUUGGGCAAUGGGGGCAACCCUGACCCAGCGACGCCGCGUGGGGGAAGACGGCCUUCGGGUUGUAAACCUCUUUUGUACGGGAAGAAGGAAGUGACGGUACUGUACGAAUAAGUCCCGGCUAACUACGUGCCAGCAGCCGCGGUAAUACGUAGAGGACGAGCGUUGUCCGGAAUUACUGGGCGUAAAGGGCGCGCAGGCUGUGCUGCAAGUCAGCUGUUAAAUGUCUGGGCUUAACCCGGGCAUGCGGUUGAGACUGCAGUGCUGGAGUGCUGUAGAGGCAAGUGGAAUUCCCAGUGUAGCGGUGAAAUGCGUAGAUAUUGGGAAGAACACCGGUGGCGAAGGCGACUUGCUGGGCAGCAACUGACGCU